This 468-nucleotide ribosomal RNA is filed under the name uncultured bacterium. Its description in RNAcentral is "partial 16S ribosomal RNA". It matches the Rfam family "Bacterial small subunit ribosomal RNA", at positions 28 to 507 of the family's 1533-position model. The record is from RNAcentral.
GACGAACGCUGGCGGCGUGCUUAACACAUGCAAGUCGAACGGAAAGGCCCUGCUUUUGUGGGGUGCUCGAGUGGCGAACGGGUGAGUAACACGUGAGUAACCUGCCCUUGACUUUGGGAUAACUUCAGGAAACUGGGGCGAAUACCGGAUAGGAGCUCCUGCUGCAUGGUGGGGGUUGGAAAGUUUCGGCGGUUGGGGAUGUACUCGCGGCUUAUCAGCUGGUUGGUGGGGUAGUGGCUUACCAAGGCUUUGAAGGGUAGCCGGCCUGAGAGGGUGACCGGCCACAUUGCGACUGAGAUACGGCCCAGACUCCUACGGGAGGCAGAAGUGGGGAAUAUUGCACAAUGGGCGGAAGCCUGAUGCAGCAACGCCGCGUGCGGGAUGACGGCCUUCGGGUUGUAAACCGCUUUCGCCUGUGACGAAGCGUGAGUGACGGUAAUGGGUAAAGAAGCACCGGCUAACUACGUG